This 82-nucleotide transfer RNA is filed under the name Rubidibacter lacunae KORDI 51-2. It matches the Rfam family "tRNA". From Rfam's summary of the family: Transfer RNA (tRNA) molecules are approximately 80 nucleotides in length. Their secondary structure includes four short double-helical elements and three loops (D, anti-codon, and T loops). Further hydrogen bonds mediate the characteristic L-shaped molecular structure. tRNAs have two regions of fundamental functional importance: the anti-codon, which is responsible for specific mRNA codon recognition, and the 3' end, to which the tRNAs corresponding amino acid is attached (by aminoacyl-tRNA synthetases). tRNAs cope with the degeneracy of the genetic code in two manners: having more than one tRNA (with a specific anti-codon) for a particular amino acid; and 'wobble' base-pairing, i.e. permitting non-standard base-pairing at the 3rd anti-codon position. Lineage: Bacteria; Bacillati; Cyanobacteriota; Cyanophyceae; Chroococcales; Aphanothecaceae. The record is from Rfam by way of RNAcentral.
GCGGACGUGGCGGAAUUGGUAGACGCGCUAGAUUUAGGUUCUAGUGUCGCAAGGCGUGAGAGUUCGAGUCUCUCCGUCCGCA